Molecule: non-coding RNA, 167 nt
Filed under: Scrippsiella trochoidea
Lineage: Eukaryota; Dinophyceae; Peridiniales; Peridiniaceae
Source: RNAcentral
CAAAAAGAAUUAGAAGAAGAAAGAAAAUAUUUUGUACCAAUUGUCUUUUUGGUAGUCUUUAUAAUUCUAUCUUCUUUCUAUGGGCUCUGGGCUUCUUCCUUUCUCACUUCUAAUUCCUGGAGAUAUAAUGGUUAUGUUUGGACCAGCAGUUGAAGGAAAAUAUGAGC